ACCGCCUUCCCGCGGUGGCGGCGGGCCCUGCGGAGCGUAGGCGCCCCGGUGAGGGUGCGCUAGAGGCGGGGGUCUCUGGGAGACGCCGCCCCUCCCCGAGGGCAACGCUCCCUGCCUCUGCCGCCUCCUGCUUUGGCUUUCUCCCGCCGCCGAGCACAGUACUUGGUGUCCCGUCCCUCCCGAUGCAUCUCGCCUCCAGUUUUCUAGAGGAGAAUUCGGAUUUUCCUGUAACUCCUGUGCGUUUCCAGUACGUCGGACAGAAGUGAACGCGUGGCUGAACUGGCUGAAAAUUCCGAAGGUUGGCAAGUUAUGAUCAAGGCAGCCGUAGAUGCGGUGUCUUGUGAGGACCCACUAACUCGUUUGUAAACUGAACAACUUUGCCGGGGAGGUUUAAUCUGCAUAUUCAGAUGAGGAAAUAGAGGCCAAGAAACGACGUGCAGUUUGCUUAAAAUCACAGCUAGAAGUGGUGUGGCUGGGAUUUGACUCCAGCAUACACCCAGCAGUGAUGCCACUGCCUCCUUCUCCUCCUCGCUACGUUUCUGUUUGAUGAGAUCAGCAUGGUGCCAGCGAGAACAACAAAGAUUUGGAUGCUGAGCUGCUGGACGAAGCCCUUUUGGCUGAUGAGGGACGAGAAGGUGUGGAUCCUGGUUUAGAUGCUGGACUGGAUCUGGCUGCACCUGAAAGCAACCAGAAUAAAUCAUGAAGAUUGGCAACGUUAAAAGCACUUUUUAGGUAUAUAGCAAAUGAUAGAGAAAAGGAAUUUACUAAAACACAGAAGAGAUACUGCCAGCAACCCCCUCCCAUCACAGAAGUACCACAAAUACACUUAGAAAGACUGCGCUCAACAAAACGAUAGCAUCAUCUUGGACGACUUACUGAACUUUCUGAGCACGGUUUUUCCCCCCUCAAGUAACAUGAGAUUAAUGCAGUUGUCCUUUCUCCCUCUGGAGAGAUGAGAGUAACAGAUACAAAGGGAUUUUAAGUUUUCUUUAAGAGUUAAGGUUCUAUGAUGAGCUCAGAGCAUCACCGUAAUUGAAUUUCUAACCUAGACGUUAUAACAGACUAACACUUCAGGAGAAGUACCAAUACAAAUGUCUUUUUUUCCCUCUCUUUUAAUGCAUUUCCUAGUUUUAGCCACUGAAAGAGUCUAGGAGCCGUGACAUCUCUGUAACAACAGGCACUCCUGGUGCCCAAGUCCUAGUUUCUCAAUGUUAUUCUGCAAUAAAAGGGCUUCUUGAGAUCUGGCUGAUCGCAGGGGUGGGGCAGGGAAAGGACAGGGUGGGCCUGGGAGAAUGUGCUCAAGGAUUCAUGUCAAAGGACACAGAGGCCAGCCUGAAGGGGCUCCCAACCGGCCACACUUGGACUGGUUGCAUAGCAUAAAGACUAACGGCUGUAAUGCAUUACAAGGCACUGAAUAAAUGCAAAGCUAGUUCAUGAUGAUGGGCAGGGGAGAGGCAGGAUCUAAAAAUCUUUACGGAACACUGACAGCUAGUAAAUGCCCAAGAAAUGCUACAACUAGAAAAGUCACACUGUUGCAACACACGUAACUGAUUCAGGAAAGUUCAUCCAUUGACUAAAACACUGAGAGGUUCUUGAGGAAAAAGAUAUUCACACGUAUCAGAUACUACCCUAUAAAUCACUUAUAAAGGGAAAGAGAUACGCUUUCACAACAGGGAAGUCUGGGGAUUUAACCAAGUUAUUCAACAGCAUCCCUAAUAACGCUAGAAAUCGGCAAAAACAAACAAACAC
Molecule: non-coding RNA, 1749 nt
Organism: Vicugna pacos (alpaca)
Lineage: Eukaryota; Metazoa; Chordata; Mammalia; Artiodactyla; Camelidae
Source: RefSeq, a predicted model, not a curated record